This is a non-coding RNA of Gymnodraco acuticeps, 636 nucleotides long. Lineage: Eukaryota; Metazoa; Chordata; Actinopteri; Perciformes; Bathydraconidae. The record is from the annotation of a RefSeq genome assembly.
UCCCACGUUGCCUUCAGUGUGCUGAGAGCAGAGACAUCAUUUCCAUAGAGAGGAGGCUUUGCAUGGUCAGCUGAUCCUCCAGUGAACUGAGAAGGUUUAUAGUCCUGUGAGUUCAACACUGCAGGACUCACAUGUGUCAGUCAGCAGAAAGCACCAUGACUCUCAUCACCAUCCUCAUCUGGACGCUGGCCUGCUGCUGUUUCACAGGAUGCAGCGGUCAGACUGUGACUGUGACUCAGCCUGCAGUCGAGACGUCUGCUCCAGGAUCCACCGUCACUCUCACCUGUAAAAGAGUUCCCAAUGAUGGCAAUUGGCCAUUGACGUCCUGGUAUCAACAGAAAUCUGGACAGCCUCCAAAGCUCCUAAUAAAACAUGUGAGCACACUUGAAUCAGGAACAGAACCUCGGUUUAGUGGCAGUGGAAGCGGCUCUGACUUCUCUAUGACCAUCACUGGACUGAAGGCUGAAGAUGCAGCAGUUUAUUACUGUCAGAGUUACCACGCUAUAAACAGUGCAGGCGUGUUCACACAGUGAUUUAGAGCCGUACAAAAACCUCCUUCAGUCUGAAGCAAAGCGUCCUGCUGCAGCUGCAGAGGUGAAGAGACUGAGAGGAGGAGAACUGGUCCAGUGAACACAA